UCUAAAGUCUAAAACGACUCUNGGNAACNGAUAUNUCGGCUCUCGCAUCGAUGAANAACNUANCGAAAUGCGAUACUUGGUGUGAAUUGCAGAAUCCCGUGAACCAUCGAGUCUUUGAACGCAAGUUGCGCCCCACGCCUUCUGGCCGAAGGCACGUCUGCCUGGG
RNAcentral lists this ribosomal RNA (166 nucleotides) under Cardamine bilobata. RNAcentral's name for it is "5.8S ribosomal RNA". It matches the Rfam family "5.8S ribosomal RNA". Rfam says of the family: 5.8S ribosomal RNA (5.8S rRNA) is a component of the large subunit of the eukaryotic ribosome. It is transcribed by RNA polymerase I as part of the 45S precursor that also contains 18S and 28S rRNA. The record is from RNAcentral. Lineage: Eukaryota; Viridiplantae; Streptophyta; Magnoliopsida; Brassicales; Brassicaceae.